This 327-nucleotide RNase P RNA is filed under the name bovine gut metagenome. Its description in RNAcentral is "Bacterial RNase P class A". It matches the Rfam family "Bacterial RNase P class A". Rfam says of the family: Ribonuclease P (RNase P) is a ubiquitous endoribonuclease, found in archaea, bacteria and eukarya as well as chloroplasts and mitochondria. Its best characterised activity is the generation of mature 5'-ends of tRNAs by cleaving the 5'-leader elements of precursor-tRNAs. Cellular RNase Ps are ribonucleoproteins. The record is from RNAcentral.
GAGGUGGAUGAUCGCUGCCGGUUUACCGGGAGAGGAAAGUCCGGGCUUCACAGGGCAGGAUGCCGGAUAACGUCCGGUGGAGGUAACUCCCAGGCCAGUGCAACAGAAAGUAUACCGCCUGCGCAAGCAGGUAAGGGUGAAAUGGCGGUGUAAGAGACCACCGUGUAUCUGGUAACAGAUGCAGCAAUGUAAACCCCAUCCGAAGCAAGACCAAGCAGAGACCAUGAGGUUGCCCGCCUCGUCUCAGGUAGGUUGCUGGAGGCGGCUGGUAACAGUCGUCCUAGAUAGAUGAUCAUCUUAAAUGACAUAACCCGGCUUACAGCUUCU